RNAcentral lists this long non-coding RNA (1605 nucleotides) under Coturnix japonica (Japanese quail). RNAcentral describes it as "lncRNA (ENSCJPG00005008451.1)". Lineage: Eukaryota; Metazoa; Chordata; Aves; Galliformes; Phasianidae. The record is from RNAcentral.
AUUGCCUAUAACAGCAUGAAAUUACAGCCAGAACUGAUCAGCCUGGCAGCAGAUAAGGGAAGCUGUCAAGUGUGGCAGCAUGUUAUUACACAGGGGAUUGGAAGGAGGGGGCCGGAAGCCCUGUGCACUGUGGCUCUGGGGUACACUGGUGGGUGUGCUGGUGCUCCAGGGGCUAUGGGGUCUCUCCUGGUGGUGGUGGGGAUGGGCAAUGUGUGAGCUCACAAAGCACAAAGGAUUAUUGCCCUAGGAACACCUGUACCUCGCAGCUGAUUUGGCCUUUAUUUGGUUCUCACAGGGUCUGUCCCAGGUUUGCAGGGAUGGAUGCCAGCACUGCUCCUGUCCUCUCCACCCCUACGUGUUGAAAGGAGGACUCUGUGGCUCCAGUUGGCUGCUGGAUCGAGGACUGCAUUAGCAUUGACCUCAGGAGAGCCCACGCAACAAAUAAUGGCUUUAAAUAAUGGCUUUCUUCCCCGGGAGCAGACUUCAGAGAGGAGUUUCCUGCUGCUGUGUUCCUGCCCACCCUCUGAUGCUGCAGGUGCACACCGGCUGAGUGAGCCCUGUGAUGAAUUGAACUGUGCUUUGCUUAAUAAAGAGGUUGAAGGCGCAUCGUCCUUUGCAAGCUCCUCUCCUCCAGCUCAAGGAUCUGGGGUGAGCCCAGCAGCCAAAGGAGCAUCAGGCAAUGCUGGAGCAAUUCCUCCAGGGUCUCUCCAGCAACAGGAGGCUCCACACCUGCAAAGUCAAAGUGGUCACCCCUGCUUGGCUGCCGCUAAUGCCCCUAAUCGCUGCCAGAUCCCCAGGGAUUUACAGACUGGGCAGAGCCUAAGCCAGGCUCAUGGGGUGGGGACAAGACCCAGCCCCCACACUGCACACCCUGACACACCUUCUUGCUGCUGCCCUAUGCUCCAGCAAUCACUGAGCAUUGAGCUGCUGAGGCCCAGCAGUGAUAUCACUCUGCACUGAGGGCAUGAAGCCAUGCUGUUGGGGGAUUUCUGUGCGUGCUUCUCGGUUAAUCCCUAUAAAAGUGAGAGCCAGAACUUGUCUUCACUCUCCCCACAGUAAUUCAGCUGUGUUAGCACCGGUCACAAUACUACACCUGGGUUUCGGCAGCAGCAGCUCCCAGGGCACUGUGCACCAAGUGGGAUCCAUCAGGAGCAGGGAUCUGUCCUACUGAGAAUUCCCAUGGCCAUGACUAUCCCAUAAUAGGAACAAACCUUUGUCAGAGGCUGCAUAGGGCAGUGAAUUCUCCAGAAGCACAUUGUGUCCAGGACACCUUGCAGCAUCCCCACAUCCUCAACCCAUUCCAUCUUCUCCAUGUCCCACACUUCCACACUAAUUAAAGCUGCUACAUAAUUCCCCGCAGCCUCCCCGCUGCCCUGUAUUAUUCAUCAGAAAGCAGGCAGCCCUGACAAGCUGCUCUGUGGUAUUAACAAGAAAAAGGAUUAAUGGGCUGUUGGGAGCUCCCAGAGCCCUCACGGAGGAUGGGACCUGGUGUAGGGCUGAGCAUGGGGCCACAUUGGCCCUAACCCAGCACUGCCCCAGGAACUGCCAAGGCAGGUGGGUGCUGCACAUCAACCAGGUGUAACCUUCAUUAGCCAGGUUCAUCCC